RNAcentral lists this ribosomal RNA (497 nucleotides) under uncultured bacterium. RNAcentral's name for it is "partial 16S ribosomal RNA". It matches the Rfam family "Bacterial small subunit ribosomal RNA", at positions 28 to 507 of the family's 1533-position model. The record is from RNAcentral.
GACGAACGCUGGCGGCGUGCCUAAUACAUGCAAGUUGAGCGAUGAAGCUUGGUGCUUGCACCAAUUUGAAGAGCAGCGAACGGGUGAGUAACGCGUGGGGAAUCUGCCUUUGAGCGGGGGACAACAUUUGGAAACGAAUGCUAAUACCGCAUAACAACUUUAAACAUAAGUUUUAAGUUUGAAAGAUGCAAUUGCAUCACUCAAAGAUGAUCCCGCGUUGUAUUAGCUAGUUGGUGAGGUAAAGGCUCACCAAGGCGAUGAUACAUAGCCGACCUGAGAGGGUGAUCGGCCACAUUGGGACUGAGACACGGCCCAAACUCCUACGGGAGGCAGCAGUAGGGAAUCUUCGGCAAUGGACGAAAGUCUGGCCGAGCAACGCCGCGUGAGUGAAGAAGGUUUUCGGAUCGUAAAACUCUGUUGGUAGAGGAGAACGUUGGUGAGAGUGGAAAGCUCAUCAAGUGACGGUAACUACCCAGAAAGGGACGGCUAACUACGUG